RNAcentral lists this ribosomal RNA (403 nucleotides) under Fusobacteriota bacterium. Its description in RNAcentral is "Fusobacteria bacterium partial 16S ribosomal RNA". It matches the Rfam family "Bacterial small subunit ribosomal RNA", at positions 355 to 776 of the family's 1533-position model. The record is from RNAcentral. Lineage: Bacteria; Fusobacteriati; Fusobacteriota.
UGGGGAAUAUUGCACAAUGGCGGGAACUCUGAUGCAGCGACGCCGCGUGAACGAAGAAGGCUUUCGAGUCGUAAAGUUCUUUUAUAUGGGAAGAUAAUGACGGUACCAUAAGAAAAAGCCCCGGCUAACUACGUGCCAGCAGCCGCGGUAAUACGUAGGGGGCUAGCGUUGUCCGGAAUCACUGGGCGUAAAGGGUUCGCAGGCGGAAAUGCAAGUCAGGUGUAAAAGGCAGUAGCUUAACUACUGUAAGCAUUUGAAACUGCAUAUCUUGAGAAGAGUAGAGGUAAGUGGAAUUUUUAGUGUAGCGGUGAAAUGCGUCGGUAAUAAAAAGAAUACCGGUGGCGAAGGCGACUUACUGGACUAAAAAUGAAGCAGAGGAACGAAAGCGGGGGCAGCAAACAGG